Molecule: ribosomal RNA, 261 nt
Filed under: Salmonella enterica
Lineage: Bacteria; Pseudomonadati; Pseudomonadota; Gammaproteobacteria; Enterobacterales; Enterobacteriaceae
Also listed under: 1 other name
Description: partial 16S ribosomal RNA
Rfam family: Bacterial small subunit ribosomal RNA
Source: RNAcentral
AGCAAGCGGACCUCAUAAAGUGCGUCGUAGUCCGGAUUGGAGUCUGCAACUCGACUCCAUGAAGUCGGAAUCGCUAGUAAUCGUGGAUCAGAAUGCCACGGUGAAUACGUUCCCGGGCCUUGUACACACCGCCCGUCACACCAUGGGAGUGGGUUGCAAAAGAAGUAGGUAGCUUAACCUUCGGGAGGGCGCUUACCACUUUGUGAUUCAUGACUGGGGUGAAGUCGUAACAAGGUAACCGUAGGGGAACCUGCGGUUGGA